CACCCCUGGCAUUGGGCAGAGAGACACCUCUUUGUGGUGUUGCUCUUCUAUCAGCCAGGGGCAGAGCAGAUGCACAGUCCUUUGUUCAUCCUAGCUGGAUGCCUGUGUUGGUGGCCGGAGCUGUUUCAUGCUUAGGGCACAAAA
Oryctolagus cuniculus (rabbit) is the source of this 144-nucleotide small nucleolar RNA. The record is from Ensembl. Lineage: Eukaryota; Metazoa; Chordata; Mammalia; Lagomorpha; Leporidae.